AGAGGGCGUGAAACCGCUUAGAAGGAAACGAGAGGAGCCGCUAUUUGCCAGCAAAAUUCAACUGUUUUGCUGCUUUGUGGCAUUAACAGUGCAUUUUUUGUUGGUUAGCACUGAGAGCUGUGCUGGAAGCAUUGCGGCUCGCUAAAAGGUAGGCACAUUUGUGUACAUAUUUUUGCGGGUUGCAUCGCGUUUCGGUACGGUUUUGAACACUCUGAAUGGAUCGGCUGCGGUUGAUCAUCUUUUCAUUUCUCCGUUUCUGGUUUCUAGCCGGACUCGGUGAUUGGAAGUUUGUGAUUCUAUCAGUCGAGAAGGUGUUGUUUCGGUGUGAAAGUCGGCUACCCUCCCGACCCGUCUUGAAACACGGACCAAGGAGUCUAACAUGUGCGCAAGUCAUUGGGUUUAUUAAACCUACAGGCGAAAUGAAAGUAAAGGCCGGCUCGGUCGGCUGACACACGAUCCAUUCAGCUUGCUGUUUGGCGCAGUGUGGUCCCAUCUUAGAUGCUUGUCAUCGAGGUGGAGAUUGAGCGUACAUGUUGGGACCCGAAAGAUGGUGAACUAUGCCUGAACAGGAUGAAGCCAGAGGAAACUCUGGUGGAAGUCCGAAACGGUUCUGACGUGCAAAUCGA
This 626-nucleotide ribosomal RNA is filed under the name Desmoscolecidae sp. 685_5-1500_X. RNAcentral's name for it is "eukaryotic LSU rRNA". It matches the Rfam family "Eukaryotic large subunit ribosomal RNA", at positions 392 to 901 of the family's 3401-position model. Lineage: Eukaryota; Metazoa; Nematoda; Chromadorea; Desmoscolecida; Desmoscolecidae. The record is from RNAcentral. RNAcentral also lists the same sequence under 1 other name.